UACGUAGGGUGCAAGCGUUGUCCGGAAUUAUUGGGCGUAAAGAGCUCGUAGGCGGUCUGUCACGUCGGCUGUGAAAACCCGAGGCUCAACCUCGGGCCUGCAGUCGAUACGGGCAGACUAGAGUGCUGUAGGGGAGACUGGAAUUCCUGGUGUAGCGGUGAAAUGCGCAGAUAUCAGGAGGAACACCGGUGGCGAAGGCGGGUCUCUGGGCAGUAGCUGACGCUGAGGAGCGAAAGCGUGGGGAGCAAACAGG
Molecule: ribosomal RNA, 253 nt
Filed under: uncultured bacterium
Lineage: Bacteria
Description: partial 16S ribosomal RNA
Rfam family: Bacterial small subunit ribosomal RNA
Source: RNAcentral